UUAGUGGACCUCCCUCCAACUCAUCCUCCUUGUGAAUAUAAACUGGGAUAAAAAUGUCAUUCAUUUUUCCAAGAGUUACCACCCACAUGUGCAUGAGGGGAGCAGGAGAGCUGGCGCAGGUAUGUGGAUUAUUGGAGACGCCAUCAGUGUUGAUGGAGGCCUGAGCAGCAGAUAUGACUAUGAAACAUGUCAUCACUGCGGCUGUUGACAGCGAUGUAGCCGUCUGUCUGAGAAUGGAGCCCACAAACAUAGAGGUUGGGGCUGAUGACACAACUAGAAAGCAAUUAACGGAGCAUAUUGAGACGCUCUGUCUUCCUGCAAUCCUGUUUUGAGUACCAUUAAUUCAGUGUUAUCAUCGGAGAUAGAAUUUUUUAUUGCUUCAGCCAAUUUAAUUUGGUUUUCUGUUAGCCACAAAUUUAAACAUUUUGGAGAAGCUUUACUCUUCCUCUUGCAAUUCGAACUUCAGAGAAGGCCAGGUUGAAAACUGAGAAAGGUAAAUAAUUGUUACACAUUUUGAGGAACAAUAAAUA
Molecule: long non-coding RNA, 530 nt
Organism: Talpa occidentalis (Iberian mole)
Lineage: Eukaryota; Metazoa; Chordata; Mammalia; Eulipotyphla; Talpidae
Exons: 3
Source: RefSeq, a predicted model, not a curated record